CAACGGGGUGCGACACGGUGACGUGGGGCGGAUCCCUGAAAACCGGUCUCAGUUCGGAUCGCAGUCUGCAACUCGACUGCGUGAAGGUGGAGUCGCUAGUAAUCGCGGAUCAGCAACGCCGCGGUGAAUGCGUUCCCGGGCCUUGUACACACCGCCCGUCAAGUCAUGAAAGUGGGCAGCACCCGAAGACGGUGGCCUAACCCUUGUGGGGGGAGCCGUCUAAGGUGAGGCUCGUGAUUGGGACUAAGUCGUAACAAGGUAGC
Molecule: ribosomal RNA, 263 nt
Filed under: uncultured bacterium
Lineage: Bacteria
Description: partial 16S ribosomal RNA
Rfam family: Bacterial small subunit ribosomal RNA
Source: RNAcentral